GCCCUUGUAGUUCAACGGAUAGAAUAGCGGUUUCCUAAACCGUAGAUUCGAGUUCGAUUCUCGACGGGGGUA
RNAcentral lists this transfer RNA (72 nucleotides) under Paludibacteraceae bacterium. RNAcentral's name for it is "tRNA-Arg". It matches the Rfam family "tRNA". Rfam says of the family: Transfer RNA (tRNA) molecules are approximately 80 nucleotides in length. Their secondary structure includes four short double-helical elements and three loops (D, anti-codon, and T loops). Further hydrogen bonds mediate the characteristic L-shaped molecular structure. tRNAs have two regions of fundamental functional importance: the anti-codon, which is responsible for specific mRNA codon recognition, and the 3' end, to which the tRNAs corresponding amino acid is attached (by aminoacyl-tRNA synthetases). tRNAs cope with the degeneracy of the genetic code in two manners: having more than one tRNA (with a specific anti-codon) for a particular amino acid; and 'wobble' base-pairing, i.e. permitting non-standard base-pairing at the 3rd anti-codon position. Lineage: Bacteria; Pseudomonadati; Bacteroidota; Bacteroidia; Bacteroidales; Paludibacteraceae. The record is from RNAcentral.